CUACGGGUGGCUGCAGUGGGGAAUAUUGGACAAUGGAGGCAACUCUGAUCCAGCAAUUCCGCGUGAAUGAUGAAGGUCUUCGGAUUGUAAAAUUCUUUUAGUUGGGAAGAUAGUGACGGUACCAACAGAAAAAGCACCGGCUAAUUACGUGCCAGCAGCCGCGGUAAGACGUAAGGUGCAAGCGUUAUCCGGAAUUACUAGGCGUAAAGGGCAUCUAGGCGGUUAAUUAAGUCAGAGGUGAAAAGUCAGGGCUCAACCUUGGCCUUGCCUUUGAUACUGGUUAACUAGAGUACGGGAGAGGAGGGCGGAACUACAAGUGUAGCGGUGAAAUGCGUAGAUAUUUGUAGGAAUGCCAAUGACGAAGGUAGCUCUCUGGACCGAUACUGACGCUAAAGUGCGAAAGCUAGGGGAGCAAACAGGAUUAGAUACCCGCGUAGUC
This 439-nucleotide ribosomal RNA is filed under the name uncultured bacterium. RNAcentral describes it as "partial 16S ribosomal RNA". It matches the Rfam family "Bacterial small subunit ribosomal RNA", at positions 339 to 795 of the family's 1533-position model. The record is from RNAcentral.